Molecule: long non-coding RNA, 427 nt
Filed under: Mus spicilegus (steppe mouse)
Lineage: Eukaryota; Metazoa; Chordata; Mammalia; Rodentia; Muridae
Description: lncRNA (ENSMSIG00000001427.1)
Source: RNAcentral
AACAGCACUGUAAGUGCUCAGAUAGUAAAUAAAAAUAACCAUGCUUUCAUUUUCCUUGAAGUAAGAACCAACCCAGAAAUCUUGUCUCUCCCUUGGAGCAAGGAAGCUAAUGGGAACAGUUCUCUUUCACAAAUGGCAGAUGUGAUGAGAAGCAUGCCGACUUACGUCCUGCAGCUCAUUCUGAAUGUUUGUUUUCAGCAAUCAAAAUAUAGAAGAGGACAUUUCCUGACUUUCUGCCAAGGGAUUUGCUCUAAAUUGUGCCUUUUAAAUAAAAUAUCCCACACGGAAUCGUGUACACUACCAAUCUGAAAAAUGAAUGCAGAACAGAGGGUUUUUUUUUCUACUGAACAACAUUUAUGUAAUGCCCACUUGACCUGAUUUGCUUCUUGCAAUGAAAAUUGCUGUGGCAUACAUACUUUGCAUUCAG